RNAcentral lists this ribosomal RNA (461 nucleotides) under uncultured bacterium. RNAcentral describes it as "partial 16S ribosomal RNA". It matches the Rfam family "Bacterial small subunit ribosomal RNA", at positions 29 to 507 of the family's 1533-position model. The record is from RNAcentral.
ACGAACGCUGGCGGCGUGCUUAACACAUGCAAGUCGAGCGGUAAGGCCUUUCGGGGUACACGAGCGGCGAACGGGUGAGUCACACGUGGGUGAUCUGCCCUGCACUUCGGGAUAAGCCUGGGAAACUGGGUCUAAUACCGGAUAUGACCUCCUAUCGCAUGGUGGGUGGUGGAAAGAUUUAUCGGUGCAGGAUGGGCCCGCGGCCUAUCAGCUUGUUGGUGGGGUAAUGGCCUACCAAGGCGACGACGGGUAGCCGACCUGAGAGGGUGACCGGCCACACUGGGACUGAGACACGGCCCAGACUCCUACGGGAGGCAGCAGUGGGGAAUAUUGCACAAUGGGCGAAAGCCUGAUGCAGCGACGCCGCGUGAGGGAUGACGGCCUUCGGGUUGUAAACCUCUUUCAGCAGGGACGAAGCGCAAGUGACGGUACCUGCAGAAGAAGCACCGGCUAACUACGUG